UUUUUUUUUUAGAGAAAGUUCACACAGCCCUUUUUUUCCUAUUCUUAUUCCUACUAAAAGAAUCUUGCUGGAUCAAAGCAGCAUCGAGUCCGGGAUCAUGUUUCCAGCACUGGGCAACCGGAUAUUUCUGAGGGAAGCCUGCAAGCAGGACAACAGUUCACUAUGUUGCUAGACCUCAGCAUCUGGUUUUCAGAGCACAAUCAACGAGCUACAAAUGGGGGACCAACUCUAGGACAAAUGUUCCUUUUAAAGAAUGAGGAUCCAAUCAAGAAUUUCCCUGGUCACUAGUUCCCAGGAAGGAUGCCUGUGGAAGCCACGUGCACAUAUUCUAAAGACAUUCUCCAUCAUUCUUCGACUGACGGAGAAAAGGGGAAACUGUUUUGUCGAAGGAAAGAAAAACUGAAGAUAGACCACCCCCUGGUUAUUGCAACCAAUACAUAGGGAUCUGUACCUUGGAGCAGAGACAACCCUUUUGUUCUACUUUCCUAUGCUUAAAAAAAAGCUAAAGCAAAAAAGGACGUGACAUGGAGAGUCUUCCCCAGUGUAGAUUGUUGCUGGUGUCAUAUUGGCAUCUAUAACUGAACUUCUUCUACACUACAGUCAGUCUGAGAUCACCCUAUGACAUCCUUGGGGAAAUUGCAAAGGUCUGCUUGAACAUGUUGGACUUUCUGAUCAGCAUGGGGAACUGGCUCUUGAAACUACAAAGAAUCUCAUUUCUACCACAGUCUUCAGGUUCUUACAGAGUCUGGGCUAAUGCUUGACAGUCAUGAUGACUCAAGGAUGGGAAAUAUGAUAACGCAAGCUGCAGUCACUGCUGCUCACUGAUACGGCGGCUGCGAGCACAGAGGGACCAAAACUAUUUCAUGUGGUUUAGGUCUGAAGAGAAGGCAAAAGGAAAUGCAGGAGGAUGACUCUUAUGGAAAUAAUUCUGACUGAGAUCAGAUCUGUGUUUUGUCUGUCAUCUGAGUUUGUGGCAAAGGUGAAGCUAUAUUAUUGGUCAUCUGCUUUGUAGGGGUGCAGGAAUAUGAAUGGAAAUCUACUGGUAGAUCUCCAUGUUACUAGAAAUUCGGUUACCAGUUGGCUUUUGGAUACAGUUCAAGAAGUUGGUGGGCUGUAGAGAGUAAGAAAAAUGACCUUGAUGGAGACAUGCAAGCUCCAUUACCAAACGCAACAAGGAGUGAAACAUAUCUUAAGUACACAACAAACAGAACAUAUUCAGAAGCGGCUCAGACAGAUACCUCCCCAAUUCACAGGAGUAUAAGAAGGGGGAGGAGGUACAGCCCAAUUAGACUUGCACAAUUCUGUUAUUAUAACUGAUCUCCAAGUAGCUUUAGCUUUAGCUUUGGAGCUGAUUUCCUGGUCUGGUCUACCUAGUGGGAUUUGGCUUGGGACCUUCAUGACUUGGGACCUGGUAUCUCCAGGACAACUUCUCCUAAUGGCCACUGCCCCCUGAUAAGAUUAAGAGGUGGGCUCUUUCUGGGUCCCUACUCUCAGGGAAUGUCAUUUACAGGGACCUUAGGAGCAGUCUUUCUUCCAUAUUGCCCCCUUCUCUGCAAUACUACCCCCUCUACAAUCAGAUUGUUACCUAUGUUUCUGGGGUUCUGUGAAGCCACCAUUGACCUGGCUGUUUCAGCCAGUUUUUGGGGCCUGAAAACUGGGAUGGUUCAUCCAAUGUUUGUUGGUGUAAUGAUUUUCCCACUGCUAACAUUUUGUGUGUGUUGGAUUGAUUAGUAUUGUUAUUGUGUCAUUGUUACUAUGGUUUUGUAUUUUCAAUUCAAGUACUGAAUGGCAUAAUUGAGGUGCUCAGAGUUAUUGUUGACUGGAAUGGCAUAUCAACUAGUAUAUAAAUAAAUAUCUAAAAUUCAUCAGCAAGGCUUUCCAGUGG
Long non-coding RNA from Python bivittatus (Burmese python), 1885 nucleotides. RefSeq lists it as uncharacterized. The record is from RefSeq and is a predicted model, not a curated record. Lineage: Eukaryota; Metazoa; Chordata; Lepidosauria; Squamata; Pythonidae.